GCUAUUAAAAUAUACUUGAAAUUGGGCCUUUUGAAAGAUGAAAAGCCCAAUUUCAAAUAUAUUUUCAUAGC
RNAcentral lists this microRNA precursor (71 nucleotides) under Ovis aries (sheep). RNAcentral's name for it is "miRNA (ENSOARG00000021844.1)". The record is from RNAcentral. Lineage: Eukaryota; Metazoa; Chordata; Mammalia; Artiodactyla; Bovidae.